UCCGAGUUGACCCCGGCAGUCUCCAAUGAGUCCCCAACCACCCCGAAGGAUGUUGCUGGCAACAUUGAACAAGGGUUGCGCUCGUUGCGGGACUUAACCCAACAUCUCACGACACGAGCUGACGACAGCCAUGCACCACCUGUCACCCAGUCCGAAGAGGCACCCAUCUCUGAGUGUUUCCGGGCGAUGUCAAGCCUUGGUAAGGUUCUUCGCGUUGCGUCGAAUUAAGCAACAUGCUCCGCCGCUUGUGCGGGCCCCCGUCAAUUCCUUUGAGUUUCAGCCUUGCGGCCGUACUCCCCAGGCGGGGCACUUAAUGCGUUAGCGCCGGCACCCCGGGGGUCGCUCCCCGAGGCACCUAGUGCCCAUCGCUUACGGCGUGGACUAC
Molecule: unclassified non-coding RNA, 385 nt
Filed under: uncultured Streptosporangiaceae bacterium
Lineage: Bacteria; Bacillati; Actinomycetota; Actinomycetes; Streptosporangiales; Streptosporangiaceae
Description: contains 16S-23S intergenic spacer region
Source: RNAcentral